UGGCGGAUGCUACACAUGCAGUCGAGCGGUAACAGAGAGAAGCUGCUUCUUUGCUGACGAGCGGCGGACGGGUGAGUAACGCGUAAGAAUCUACCCAGUAGCGGGGGAUACGCCCGGGGAAACUCGGAUUAAUACCGUAUACGCCCUACGGGGGAAAGAUGGCCUCUUCUUGAAAGCUAUCGCUAUUGGAGGAGCCUGCGUUGGAUUAGCUAGUUGGUGGGGUAAAGGCCUACCAAGGCGACGAUCCAUAGCUGGUCUGAGAGGACGAUCAGCCACACUGGGACUGAGACACGGCCCAGACUCCUACGGGAGGCAGCAGUGGGGAAUAUCGGACAAUGGGCGAAAGCUUGACGCAGCGACACCGCGUGUGGGAUGACGGAUCUAGGUUUGUAAACCACUUUCAGGAGGGAAGAAAAUGACGGUAACUCCACGAGAAGCCCCGGUCAACUACGUGCCAGCAGCCGCGGCUAAUACGUAGGG
RNAcentral lists this ribosomal RNA (480 nucleotides) under uncultured Gammaproteobacteria bacterium. RNAcentral's name for it is "bacterial SSU rRNA". It matches the Rfam family "Bacterial small subunit ribosomal RNA", at positions 37 to 532 of the family's 1533-position model. Lineage: Bacteria; Pseudomonadati; Pseudomonadota; Gammaproteobacteria. The record is from RNAcentral.